UACGGAGGGGGCUAGCGUUGUUCGGAAUUACUGGGCGUAAAGCGCGCGUAGGCGGAUCGGAAAGUCAGGGGUGAAAUCCCGGGGCUCAACCCCGGAACUGCCCUUGAAACUCCCGGUCUUGAGUUCGAGAGAGGUGGGUGGAAUUCCGAGUGUAGAGGUGAAAUUCGUAGAUAUUCGGAGGAACACCAGUGGCGAAGGCGGCCCACUGGCUCGAUACUGACGCUGAGGUGCGAAAGCGUGGGGAGCAAACAGG
Molecule: ribosomal RNA, 253 nt
Filed under: uncultured bacterium
Lineage: Bacteria
Description: partial 16S ribosomal RNA
Rfam family: Bacterial small subunit ribosomal RNA
Source: RNAcentral